ACACUUCGAAGAUAGGUGUCGGUACCCCAGAACGCGGUCAUCAUACUUUCAUCCUCGAUUUCUCGGGUAGUGCGCAUUCCUGGGGCUGUA
Molecule: microRNA precursor, 90 nt
Filed under: Heligmosomoides polygyrus
Lineage: Eukaryota; Metazoa; Nematoda; Chromadorea; Rhabditida; Heligmosomidae
Description: microRNA hpo-mir-10051 precursor
Source: miRBase by way of RNAcentral